UAGUCCACGCCCUAAACGAUGGAUACUAGUCGUCGGGUUUCCUAAUAGACUCGGUGACGUAGCUAACGCAUUAAGUAUCCCGCCUGGGGAGUACGGUCGCAAGAUUAAAACUCAAAGGAAUUGACGGGGGCCCGCACAAGCGGUGGAGCAUGUGGUUUAAUUCGAUGCUACGCGAAAAACCUUACCUGGGCUUGACAUCCCGCGCUACCCUGGGAAACCAGGGGUUCUCUUCGGAGACGCGGUGACAGGUGCUGCAUGGCUGUCGUCAGCUCGUGUUGUGAGAUGUUGGGUUAAGUCCCGCAACGAGCGCAACCCUUGUCUUUAGUUGCCAUCAUUUAGUUGGGCACUCUAGAGAAACUGCCGGUGACAAACCGGAGGAAGGUAAGGAUGACGUCAAGCCAGCAUGCCCCUUACGCUCUGGGCUACACACGUGCUACAAUGGUCGUGACAAAGAGUUGCUAGUCUGCGAAGGCAAGCCAAUCUCAUAAACGCGGCCUUAGUUCGGAUUGCAGG
Molecule: ribosomal RNA, 513 nt
Filed under: uncultured bacterium
Lineage: Bacteria
Description: bacterial SSU rRNA
Rfam family: Bacterial small subunit ribosomal RNA
Source: RNAcentral